This 242-nucleotide unclassified non-coding RNA is filed under the name Glomus sp. RNAcentral's name for it is "partial contains 5.8S ribosomal RNA and internal transcribed spacer 2". The stretch from base 1 to 65 matches the Rfam family "5.8S ribosomal RNA", at positions 84 to 154 of the family's 154-position model. The record is from RNAcentral. Lineage: Eukaryota; Fungi; Glomeromycota; Glomeromycetes; Glomerales; Glomeraceae.
GUGAAUCAUCGAAUUUUUGAACGCAAAUUGCACUCUCUUCGGAGAGUAUGCCUGUUUGAGGGUCAGCCUAAAAAAAAAUCGACAUCUUUGCUGUUUCGGGGGGGCGUUGGUCGGAAUUUGGGUAAUUUUAAAUCUUUGGUUUAAGCGACUUAAAAUUUUUUUUACGAUUCCUUGAAGUUUUCCAAGAUUUAUUUCUUUACACGUUUAGGUUAUCGAUUUUAUUAGGCUUGGUGGUAAUUUCG